GACGAACGCUGGCGGCGUGCUUAACACAUGCAAGUCGAACGGAAAGGCCUGCUUUCCCUUGUGGAUUGCGGGUACUCGAGUGGCGAACGGGUGAGUAACACGUGAGUGAUCUGCCCCCAACUUGGGUAUAAGCCUGGGAAACUGGGUCUAAUUCCCGAUAGGACUGCAGGGUGGUGCCUGUGGUGGAAAACGAUUUUCUAGUGGUUGGGGAUGAGCGCGCGGCCUAUCAGCUUGUUGGUGGGGUAAUGGCCUACCAAGGCGGCGACGGGUAGCCGGCCUGAGAGGGUGGACGGCCACAUUGGGACUGAGAUACGGCCCAGACUCCUGCGGGAGGCAGCAGUGGGGAAUAUUGCACAAUGGGCGGAAGCCUGAUGCAGCGACGCCGCGUGGGGGAUGACGGCCUUCGGGUUGUAAACUCCUUUCGACCGCGAGGAAGCCACCUGGUUGGAAGGGUGGUGACGGUAGUGGUAGAAGAAGCACCGGCUAACUACGUG
This 494-nucleotide ribosomal RNA is filed under the name uncultured bacterium. Its description in RNAcentral is "partial 16S ribosomal RNA". It matches the Rfam family "Bacterial small subunit ribosomal RNA", at positions 28 to 507 of the family's 1533-position model. The record is from RNAcentral.